CUAAGAAUAUUCCGCAAUGGGCGAAAGCCUGACGGAGCGACGCCGUGUGGACGAUGAAGGCCUUUGGGUUGUAAAGUCCUUUUGUUUUUGAAGAUGGAUUGCGAUAACCUCGUAAUCUGACGGUAUUAGACGAAUAAGCCCCGGCCAAUUACGUGCCAGCAGCCGCGGUAAUACGUAAGGGGCGAGCGUUGUUCGGAAUUAUUGGGCGUAAAGGGCGUGUAGGUGGACUUGCAAGUCGGAUGUGAAAUUUUCGAGCUCAACUUGAAAACUGCGUUCGAAACUACAAGACUAGAGUAUAGUAUAGGGAGACGGAAUUCCUAGUGUAGGAGUGAAAUCUAUAGAUAUUAGGAAGAACACCGAUGGCGCAGGCAGUCUCCUGGACUAAUACUGACACUAAAGCGCGAAAGCUAGGGGAGCAAACG
Molecule: ribosomal RNA, 422 nt
Filed under: uncultured prokaryote
Description: bacterial SSU rRNA
Rfam family: Bacterial small subunit ribosomal RNA
Source: RNAcentral